This 253-nucleotide ribosomal RNA is filed under the name uncultured bacterium. RNAcentral's name for it is "partial 16S ribosomal RNA". It matches the Rfam family "Bacterial small subunit ribosomal RNA", at positions 524 to 776 of the family's 1533-position model. The record is from RNAcentral.
UACGUAGGGGGCAAGCGUUGUCCGGAAUCAUUGGGCGUAAAGAGCGUGUAGGCGGUCCGGUAAGUCGGCUGUGAAAGUCCAGGGCUCAACCCUGGGAUGCCGGUCGAUACUGCCGGACUAGAGUUCGGAAGAGGCGAGUGGAAUUCCCGGUGUAGCGGUGAAAUGCGCAGAUAUCAGGAGGAACACCGGUGGCGAAGGCGGGUAGCUGGGCCGACACUGACGCUGAGGCGCGAAAGCCAGGGGAGCGAACGGG